GUGGGGGAUAUUGCACAAUGGAGGAAACUCUGAUGCAGCGACGCCGCGUGAGUGAAGAAGUAUUUCGGUAUGUAAAGCUCUAUCAGCAGGGAAGAUAAUGACAGUACCUGACUAAGAAGCCCCGGCUAACUACGUGCCAGCAGCCGCGGUAAUACGUAGGAGGCAAGCGUUAUCCGGAUUUACUGGGUGUAAAGGGAGCGUAGACGGAAUGGCAAGUCUGAAGUGAAAUCCUGCGGCUUAACUGCAGAAUUGCUUUGGAAACUGUCAAUCUGGAGUGUUGGAGAGGUAAGCGGAAUUCCUGGUGUAGCGGUGAAAUGCGUAGAUAUCAGGAAGAACACCGGAGGCGAAGGCGGCUUACUGGACAAUAACUGACGUUGAGGCUCGAAAGCGUGGGAAGCAAACAGGAUUAGAUACCCUUGUAGUCC
This 425-nucleotide ribosomal RNA is filed under the name uncultured bacterium. Its description in RNAcentral is "partial 16S ribosomal RNA". It matches the Rfam family "Bacterial small subunit ribosomal RNA", at positions 354 to 796 of the family's 1533-position model. The record is from RNAcentral.